AGCUGGAAGGAUUUCAGCCGCAGGCUGGGUGAGGAAUGCGAACCGGUCUACUUUGUGGACAUACGUGGCUAAUGUUUGGAGACUAUGCUACUCAGUGCUGGAGCAGUGAACAGUAACGCUAUGCAGCAAUAGACAAUGGCAACGAAAUACACGAGAAUGUGAAACUGAAUAACACUUAUGCGUAAUGUCCCAAAUCGUGCAGAAUUUCCUGCACGUAUUUGAGCUUCCAAGACAAUACUGCAGGAGUGUAGUUAGCUCGGAUUAGCCGGACAAACAAGGCUGCCUCACCAGAAGGUCCUCAUUGGUAGCGGGCAGAGACGGGAACUGGAGUUUGUUCGCCUCGUCCAUCCUGAGGUCUGUUCGGGUACCGACGGCCCGUCUUUACGCGCGGUAAGGAUGUUUCUCGCGGCGGGGUUAGCUGGACAGUCGGCGCAAUUUGUUUUGAGGCUCCACAUGCAUGUCCGCCAUGCUGUAACCCUGACAGAUGUGUCACGUGACAGCUCAGCAGAUGGCAAACUGAGUUCGAAGAAAGAAGAAAAGAGAACAAUGGCGACGUCCCGUGGUCGAUUUACGAAGCGCAGGACUGACUUCCGGAUGAAAUACAUCCACAUUAACUGAUUAAUCAUGCUUACCAGAUGCGAAUCAGUCGCCGUGGUUGGUUGUAUUCCCGUGAGCCCUGUCUGCAACAAAGUGGAUGGAUGAUGACAGGGCCUGCGCACCAGCCAUCCACUUGCAGAUCUAUCACACUAGAUGGCAGUCAAACACAAAUAUUUAGAAGUCGGCUGCGAGCCACCGCUGACAGCAGCUGGGGCUGGGCAUGUCCACCUCCAUCGACGGGAGCUUCAGGUGGUUGUGGGGGAUUGCUUUUAGGGAAUAUGCACAUCCCUUUGUUCGAGACAUGAGAGAGAUCAUAAAUGCACGCUCACUCGCUCCGGCGCACCUUUCAUUCAUU
Molecule: long non-coding RNA, 952 nt
Organism: Eleginops maclovinus (Patagonian blennie)
Lineage: Eukaryota; Metazoa; Chordata; Actinopteri; Perciformes; Eleginopidae
Exons: 3
Source: RefSeq, a predicted model, not a curated record